CUCCCAUGCACCUCAUUCCACAAACACAGAGCAUCUAAUCUGGCUUCGUUUCUUGACUGGGUGCGAGAGAGCUCAGGGCUCUUCCUUGAAGAUGCUCUUAGUUCCUGCUCUUCUGGAUGUAAGAAAAGGUGAUUGUAGAGCAGAUCGUUGAGUCUCAUCCGGACGGCCUGAAGAUCAUGUAUGCUAAUAAGCUCCUGGAGUUCGUUCCUCACCACUGCCGCCUUCUUCGAGAGGUCACAGGAGGAGCCAUCUCAAGGAAGAAGAGAUUAGGACACAGACAGUACAGACUGAAGGACAAUCGUUUGAAGACAGAGUGGAGAACACAGCUAUCUGCAAGCCAAGGAGAGACGUUUGAAGAAUCGAACCCUACUGCCACCUUGAUCUUGGACUUCCAGCGCCCAGAACCAUGAGAAAAUAAAUUGCAUGUUGCCUAAGCCACCCGGCUGUUGAUAUUUUGUUUAUGACAGCCCAUGACUCAGAAAUUUGAGGAGCUCCCCCUCAGACUUUAUCCUGAAGUUCUGUUUCAGCUUCAGGGGCUUGUGUAAUACUACUGUAUCAAGGAGGGAGGCUCCUGCCAUUCCCUGCACUGGGUCAUUGAGACACUGCACAGCUGUCCCCAGGGCUGGCUACAUAAUUUACAAGCCCCAUGCAAAAUGAAGAUAUAGGGCCCUUUGGGCAAAAACAGGGAGGAAGUGUUUGUUAAAGGUACUAAAAUAGAAAGCUCAUUUCCUCCAUGGUCUGUCUUCUGAA
This is an RNA transcript of Mustela lutreola (European mink), 750 nucleotides long. It is a transcript of the gene named conserved oligomeric Golgi complex subunit 2-like, with no coding region annotated. The transcript is spliced from 3 exons. NCBI's taxonomy places the organism in Eukaryota, Metazoa, Chordata, Mammalia, Carnivora, Mustelidae. The record is from RefSeq and is a predicted model, not a curated record.